CCCCUCAGCAGCUCCGUCGCGCCGCCGCCUCCAUCGCCUGCAGUGUCCCCUCGGUGCCACCCUCAGAGUGUCCCCAGGACCCCCCCGGGUGUCCCCAGGACCCCUGUUCAGAGGAGCCGCUGCCGGGGUCCGACUCGGACAGCGAGGACCCCGUCCCUGUCCCCAUCCCUGUCCCUGUCACCUCCAAACGACGCCGGGACCUCUCCGAUGACGAUGACAAUGACAAUGACGAUGAUGAUGGCACCAACUCCGGUGGGUCCCGCCCCUCGGGGGUCUCCAAAUGUCACCCCCAGACCCUUUUUGUGACACCAACCCCGUCCCCUCCGUCCUCAGGAGCCGCCGGUGAGGAAAAGGAGGAGGAGGAGGAGGAGGAUGAAGAUCCGCAGCCCCGGGGGAGGAGGAAGCGCCUCCGCUGCCUGGAGGAGGAGGAGGAGGAUGAGGAGGGGGCUUGAGGGGCAUUUUUCUGGGUUUUUCUGCGGAUUUUAGUGGAUUUCUGGAGAUUUUCUGCAGGUUUUCUACAGGUUUUCUGGGGUUUCUGCAGAUUUUCUUGGAUUUCCUGCAGGUUUUCUGCCAGUUUUUUGGGGUUCCUGCAAAUUUUAUUGGAUUUCCUGCACAUUUUCUGGGUUUUUCUGCAGAUUUUAGUGGAUUUCUGCAUUUUCUGCAGAUUUUUUGGAUGGAUUUCUGCAUUUUCUGGGGUUUUUCUGCGGAUUUUAGUGAAUUUCUGCAGAUUUGCUGCGGGUUUUCUACCAGGUUUUUUGGGACUUCUGCGGAUUUUGGUGGAUUUUAGCGUUUUCUGCAUAUUUUUUGGGUGGAUUUCUGCAUUUUCUGGGGUUUUCUGCGGAUUUUGGUGGAUGGAUUUCUGCAUUUUCUGCGGUUUUCUGCGGAUUUUGGUGGAUUUCCUGUAGGUUUUCUGCAAGUUUUCUGCAGAUUUUCUGCCAGUUUUUUGUGGUUUCUGCAAAUUUUAUUGCAUUUCCUGCACAUUUUCUGGUUUUUUCUGCAGAUUUUAGUGGAUUUCUGCAGAUUUUCUGCAGGUUUUCUGGCGUUUUUACAAUUUUUCUGGGCUUUUCUGCAGAUUUUCUUUGAUUUCCUACAUGUUUUCUGAAGUUUCUGCAGAUUUCAGUAGAUUUCUGCGUUUUCUGGUGCUCCUGCAGGUUUUACUGGAUUUUUACAGAUUUUACUGGAUUUGAUACACAUUUUCUGUGGUUUCUGUGGAUUUUUUUUUGCGUUUCUGCAGAUUUUUUAGUGGAUUUCUGCCUUUUCUGAGGUUUCUAUAGAUUUUCUGGGAUUUCUGCAGAUUUUAUUGAAUUUCUGCACAUUUUCUCUACAUUUUCUACACGUUUCUGCAUUUUUUCUGGAGUUUCUACAAAUUUUCUGCCUUUUCUGCAGRUUUUCUGGAAUUUUCUACRCAYU
Molecule: long non-coding RNA, 1410 nt
Organism: Malurus melanocephalus (red-backed fairy wren)
Lineage: Eukaryota; Metazoa; Chordata; Aves; Passeriformes; Maluridae
Exons: 3
Source: RefSeq, a predicted model, not a curated record